GAGUGGCGGAAACCCUGAGACUCAGAGAAGCAUCGAGAACCGGAAGGAGACCUUAGGAGGAAGGUAAUGGCAGCGGCAGCUGCGCGGUGGAGGCCCCCACGCCCCUCCCUCCAGCGGCCCCCGGUUUCCUCACUUGGCAAUGGAUGGAGGCGGCGGAUCUCGCGAGAACCUCGUGGCCGGCUAACCGGAGCUCCGGGGCUGCAAUGACUUAAGGGCAGUUUUGUGCUCUCUUCCUGGCUGGGGCCCGCCCCCAAAUCCGCAAGGUAUCGCGAGAUGCGCCGGGAACCCCAGGUUCUCGCUGGGCGGGCCUUGGGCGGAAAGCACCGCCCCUGAGUGCUUAUGCUGGUGGGCGGGAGAGGAAAUGGAAUUCCCCAGGCUGGCCGGCGCGCGCGCUGACACGGCCCUCUCUCGGGCCGGCGUCCAAUCGGGAAUGGGCUGUGGGCGGGGCCGCCGGCCGGAGCGGGUUCCUGGUUUCCGGUGGCCCAGGUGAUGGAGAUUUCGUCCCGUGCUCCACCGAGAGGGUUGAGCAGCGGGAGGAGGCUCCCCUCAAAUUAGGAACGAAGCCGGGGUGCAAUGACUGGUGGGAAACACUGGACCCUACCAAUCAGGAACUCUCAACAUAUAGGGAGGACAAUGAAGAAGUUUCAAAGAAACCAGUUCCUGUGCCCUAAUCUAACAAGUUUCAACAUAAAAGUGCACUGAAACUUCACUGCUAUGCAACAAAGCACAGCAUACUGGAACAAAUAUGAGGUCAGAGUUCUUGUGUCUAAAAAUAUGUGGGUGGUUCAGUAACGCUGUUGACCCUUCUCAAAACAAUGUUUCAUAUGGGACUUCUCAGAAUGACUGACAGGCUGUGGUCCAGCUAAUCCAACAGUGGCUGUCUACCAUUGGAAGGUCCAGGAAUCCAGCAGUUGUGUAGCAGGAAUCUUAAAAGUUCUUAUUAAUAAAAUCAAACCUGAGCCAGGUAUUGGGGUGUACACUGGAAGAUCAGAGAGACAGAACAAGCCACAGCUUCCUCACCUGGCCAAUUCUUCAGGUGAUCCUGUUUCCUCAGACUGGAAGCCUCUGUGUCCUCAUAUCUGAAUGGCGCUCAGCUGAACUGUGCUGCCAGAAGCCUGAAAGCUUAACCAGCCAAAUGCUUAACCAGGCCAAAUGCUUCUAGUUUCUGGUCCUCACGUCUUAUGUACCUUUCUGCUUUCUACCAUCACUCCCUGGGAUUAAAGCCUCGCUUUCUGGGAUUAAAGGCAUGUGUCACCAUG
Molecule: long non-coding RNA, 1259 nt
Organism: Peromyscus eremicus (cactus mouse)
Lineage: Eukaryota; Metazoa; Chordata; Mammalia; Rodentia; Cricetidae
Exons: 3
Source: RefSeq, a predicted model, not a curated record